This 440-nucleotide ribosomal RNA is filed under the name uncultured bacterium. Its description in RNAcentral is "partial 16S ribosomal RNA". It matches the Rfam family "Bacterial small subunit ribosomal RNA", at positions 338 to 795 of the family's 1533-position model. The record is from RNAcentral.
CCUACGGGAGGCAGCAGUGGGGAAUAUUGCACAAUGGGGGAAACCCUGAUGCAGCAAAGCCGCGUGAGUGAAGAAGUACUUCGGUAUGGAAAGCUCUAUCAGCAGGGAAGAGAAUGACGGUACGUGACUAAGAAGCCCCGGCUAACUACGUGCCAGCAGCCGCGGUAAUACGUAGGGGGCAAGCGUGCUCCUGGAUGACUGGGGGUAAAGGGAGCGUAAACCGCUGUACAAGUCUGAAGGUAAAGCCCGUGGCCCAACCGCGGAACUGCUUUGGAAACUGUAAAGCUGGAGUGCUGGAGAGGUAGGCGGAAUUCCUAGUGUAGCGGUGAAAUGCGUAGAUAUUAGGAGGAACACCAGUGGCGAAGGCGGCCUACUGGACCGAAACUGACGUUGAGGCUCGAAAGCGUGGGGAGCAAACAGGAUUAGAUACCCCUGUAGUC